UCAGCCAUGCCGCGUGUGUGAAGAAGGCCUUUUGGUUGUAAAGCACUUUAAGCGAGGAGGAGGCUACCGAGACUAAUACUCUUGGAUAGUGGACGUUACUCGCAGAAUAAGCACCGGCUAACUCUGUGCCAGCAGCCGCGGUAAUACAAAGGGUGCGAGCGUUAAUCGGAUUUACUGGGCGUAAAGCGUGCGUAGGCGGCUUUUUAAGUCGAGAUGUGAAAUCCCUGAGCUUAACUUAGGAAUUGCUAUUCGAUACUGGGAAGCUAGAGUAUGGGAGAGGAUGGUAGAAUUCCAGGUGUAGCGGUGAAAUGCGUAGAGAUCUGGAAGAAUACCGAUGGCAGAACGCAGCCAUCUGGCCUAAUACUGACGCUGAGGUACGAAAGCGUGGGGAGCACACAAGAUUAUAUACCCUGGUACUCCAUGCCGUACACGAUGUCUACUAACCGUUGGGGCCUUUGAGGCUUUAUUGGCGCAUCUAACGCGAUAAGUACACCGCCUGGGGAGUACGGUCGCAAGACUAACACUCAUAUGAAUUGACGGGGGCCCGCACAAGCGGUGGAGCAUGUGGUUUAAUUCUAUGCAACGCGAAGAACCUUACCUGGUCUUGACAUAGUAAGAACUUUCCAGAGAUGGAUUGGUGCCUUCGGGAACUUACAUACAGGUGCUGCAUGGCUGUCGUCAGCUCGUGUCGUGAGAUGUUGGGUUAAGUCCCGCAACGAGCGCAACCCUUUUCCUUAUUUGCCAUCGGGUUAAGCCGGGAACUUUAAAGAUACUGCCAGUGACAAACUGGAAGAAGGCGGAGACGACGUCAAGUCAUCGUGGCCCUUACGACCAGGGCUACACACGUGCUACAAUGGUCGUACAAAGGGUUGCUACCUAGCGAUCGGAUGCUAAUCUCAAAAAGCCGAUCGUACCCCGGAUUGGAUCUGCACCUCCACUCCAUGAACGCAGAAAUCCCUAGUAAUCGCGAUCAAAAUGCCGCGGAGAAUACUCCGGGUCUUGU
RNAcentral lists this ribosomal RNA (1003 nucleotides) under Acinetobacter johnsonii. Its description in RNAcentral is "bacterial SSU rRNA". It matches the Rfam family "Bacterial small subunit ribosomal RNA", at positions 388 to 1384 of the family's 1533-position model. The record is from RNAcentral. Lineage: Bacteria; Pseudomonadati; Pseudomonadota; Gammaproteobacteria; Moraxellales; Moraxellaceae.